RNAcentral lists this ribosomal RNA (301 nucleotides) under uncultured bacterium. RNAcentral's name for it is "partial 16S ribosomal RNA". It matches the Rfam family "Bacterial small subunit ribosomal RNA", at positions 509 to 809 of the family's 1533-position model. The record is from RNAcentral.
CAGUAGCCACGGUAAUACGUAGGUGGCGAGCGUUGUCCGGAAUCAUUGGGCGUAAAGGGAGCGCAGGCGGGCAUGUAAGUCUUUCUUAAAAGUUCGGGGCUCAACCCCGUGAUGGGAUGGAAACUGCCAAUCUAGAGUAUCGGAGAGGAAAGUGGAAUUCCUAGUGUAGCGGUGAAGUGCGUAGAUAUUAGGAAGAACACCAGUGGCGAAGGCGACUUUCUGGACGAAAACUGACGCUGAGGCGCGAAAGCCAGGGGAGCGAACGGGAUUAGAGACCCCCGUAGUCCCUGUCUCUUAUACA